Canis lupus familiaris (dog) is the source of this 2313-nucleotide long non-coding RNA. RefSeq lists it as uncharacterized. The record is from RefSeq and is a predicted model, not a curated record. Lineage: Eukaryota; Metazoa; Chordata; Mammalia; Carnivora; Canidae. The transcript has 3 exons.
AAAAAAGAACACACAGAAAAAGAUAAAUCCCAUGUGAUCCUACUUAUAUGUGGAAUCUAAAACACAUAUGACACCAAACUUACAGAUACAGAGAACAGAUUGUUGGUUGCCAGAGGCUGAGAGUAGGGGGUGGGUGAGAUGGAUGCAGCAAGCCAGCAGGUACAAAUUUUCAUUUAUAAAAUAUAUGAGUCUUAGGGAUGUAAUAAACAGCAAGGUGACUAUCGUUAAUAACACUAAAAUGCAUACUUGAGAGGUACGAAGAGAGUAGAUGCUAAAAGUUCUCUUCAUAAAAAAAUUCUCUUUCUUUAUGGGAUAGAUGUUAAUUAGACUGUGGUGAUCAUUUCACAAUACGUAUAAAUAUCAGGUCAUUAUAGCAUUAUAUUGUCUAUCUGAAACAAAAUAAUGUCAAUUAUACCUUAAUAAAAAAUUUACAAAUAAAAAAAAGUAAGCUCUAUGAAGAUAGGAUUUUGAAUUAUUGUUUUGUUUGUUUGAAUUAUUGUUGUAUCCCCAGGUGCUCCUGGCACAUGGUGGGUACUAAAUAAAUAUUUCUUAAAUGUAACAGAUUAAUUUGAGAACAGGGUUGAAAAAGAAGAGCCUCAUAAAGGAAUCAAAAAGGAGAAGAUCAGAGAUGUACAAAGAGACCUAAACGUCCAGGAAGUUGUAAGAGUGAUUCAGGGGACAAGGAGAUCAGAAUAUAAACUGAUAAAAGGUGCCUGCCAGCCUAGCUACAUCCCAAAUCUUUGAAGAUGAUAGAGAAGUUUAUUAAAAAAAAAAAAAAUCAACAUCGUUGUUGCAGAACAAGUGCCUUCCUUAAUGGACCAGAAACUUUGAGGAAUCCCUGAAAUGUAGAAGACAGAAGGUGUUGAGUCGACAGAAGAAUUCACUGAACAAAGCACAAAAAAUGCUAUAAAAUGAAGUUGUUUAUUAAGCAAGUUCCCAGACACCAGGCAAGGACCAGUCUUCCAAGCAGGACUUUCAAAAAAUAGCAGUCUCAGGUUUGCUAUGCUAACUGUCUCCUGUGUAGCCUCCUCUGAUCACCCGCUCCAACCAAUCAAGUAGUACAUCAUGGACACAGCUUCCGCCAGACAGGUACAAUGAGGUUACAAGCAUCUGUGAGGUGUCAAGGAAAGGCCCUGGUUUGCCAAGAGGAAGAAGAAGAUGCCACAUUCAGAAAAUUAAUGAUUGGCACAAGUCUCCCAGCAACCUGUGUUCCCUUCCUUUGUGAACACAAAGGAGACUGUAAAGGGCAUAGGAUUAGCAAAAGGAGCUAAGGUGUGUACACAGAGUGGGGUGUGUGCAUCCCAGGAGGUGUACAUUUGAUUGUCUGGGGGUGGGGGCAGGGAGAAAAUGCUUUACCCCUUUAUUUUUAAUAAAAAAUGAUUUUCAAAAUCUAACUUGUACUAACAUGUAUCACUUGUACGUUACUAGAAUAUACAAAAUACAACUUGUAUUACUUGUAUUACUUGGAGUCAGGGAUCCAGAACCCUGAUCAUGACAGAGGGGCUAAUGUUUUCCCAAUUAAAAUCCUCACAGCUCCAAGACCAGGAUACUUUUUCUGAACCUGAUGUCUGGCCUUCUAAAUGCCUGGGUCCUUGCCCAGAAUGUGAUAGGCAAUGGAAGGCCCCCAUUACUACCACUUCUUUCUUAGACAUUUUAUCACAAGCCUGGUGCGUUCAUUGUCUCGUCACUUGACUUUGUUCCUUCAACAGUUGACACACAAAAAAAUUAGGGCAUCUGGGCCAGCAUUCCAAGGUCUGCAGAUAAAGGCCUACUCUAGAAAUGAGGAAGGCCCAAAUAGGGCAGCAUGACUAGCUUUGAGGAUCGAGAAGGAUAAUUACUAACAUUACAAGAACUAGUCCCUUGAAGUUCCACGUUUCUGAAACAAUAAACUUGCUGAGAAUAUCAAGACUGGGGAGAUGGAUUGUCAAUAUUCCACGGCUGUUAUUAAGGCCUCCAAGGGAGUUGCGUAAGACGUGAAGCAGAAGGAUAAGGGUGAACCGGAACUGCAGGUGAAACUACUAGUUGAAUAUUUUUGUGGGUGGAAUGUGCAAAGAAUUUCAGAUAAAGUAAGACCAAGCAAACGGAUCAUUUGCCUAAUCCGCUGCAUUCUAUAACUAGAGCAACACAGGCUGUCAUGCAGCCAGGGUGUACACUCUGCAGUAUGAGACAGAGCAUGCUACCAGGGCACUACAUAGAGCAAGAAGAAGGGGAAAUAGAAAGCCGGCGGUCCUUAUUAUCAUCAUCUCUGCUCCACAGUUCCAUGAAUGUGACAACCUUAAAUCAGACCAAGCAAACAGAUCCUGGGGUCCUGGA